AUUACCAUCUCUUAUCUUUUCCAAUAAGAUAUAAUAAUAGUUCUUUAAGUAAAAGAAAAUGGUUAUUUUGAAAACCGAUAAUUAGGACGUGGUGGUGUGGUGUAUCUCGAGCAUCAGGAGAAUUGAAGAAAAGGGAGUAAUUAGUGUACUGUGUGGCUCUUGUUAUAGGUCAACAUCUAAAUUUUAAGGUAUACAUAUACAAGAACUUGAGGGUAUGGAUUAAUUGGGUUGUGGCAAGGUGAGUACGUUGGUAUGCAUAUAUAUGUACCAUGGGGUUUAACAUGAGUUAUGUGAGACCGGUGGGCGUUAAUUCAUGUUAACUUAUGUUGUUAUGAUUGGUAGAGACCACAGUAUCGGGUGACGACUCGAUGUACUUAGUGGCACCGGUAUGGAUCCAUAUCUAAUAUUUGUUGCUUAGGAACAUUAUGUGAGACUGACGGGCAUUAAUGUUCUAAAGUUUAUUGUAGUGUGCCAUGAUAUGUGUAUAUGUUUAUAAACGUACCCACUAAGCAUUCGCUUAUAUUUUAGUCGUUUAUAUUUUGUAGGCGAUCAAGUUGACAAAAGCAAGAAGUGAACCGACUAGAAGGCUUACUACAUAGAAGUACUUGGAAGUAGUAAUAAUCAUUGAAGGUCUCUUUUAAGGUAGUUUUAGAUUGUACUAUUAAUUUUGGGGUUAGACGUCUCUUGUCAUGUGCUCUUGAUACCCCCCCUUGUGCUUAAUGGUGUCAUUUUGUUGUUACCGCCAAUUUAACCUGUGGGUUAGUAUUGACAUCACCUGACAUAUAAUGCUUAAAAGUUUUAAUCUAGUAAUGUUUAAAAGGUAGUUGGUAUAACAGAUUGUAUUAGUUAAAAAUCAUAGCAAAUGUCGUGUAAUGUGAUGCU
Erigeron canadensis is the source of this 882-nucleotide long non-coding RNA. RefSeq lists it as uncharacterized. The transcript has 2 exons. Lineage: Eukaryota; Viridiplantae; Streptophyta; Magnoliopsida; Asterales; Asteraceae. The record is from RefSeq and is a predicted model, not a curated record.